This 488-nucleotide long non-coding RNA is filed under the name Gallus gallus (chicken). Its description in RNAcentral is "long non-coding RNA NONGGAT008741". The record is from RNAcentral. Lineage: Eukaryota; Metazoa; Chordata; Aves; Galliformes; Phasianidae.
GGCGUGGAGAGGGGGACGAGCCCGGCAGGGGGAGCGCGGGGCCGGGAGCGGAGCGCGGGCGGCGCUGCUUGAACGGGAAAAGGAGUUGUAAGGUUACGGCUUCAGCCCCACACGGGCGGCUCAGUGCGCACAACUGUCAGCCCGGGGCCACAGCACAGCUCGGAGACGGCCAGAGCGGCACAAAGCAGCAGAUCCGACUCAGAACUGUAUUCACAUCUACACUAAUCCUGAGUAAUCCUUGGCGGACUGUGAGCCGCGCACUAAUGGAAGCCCUACCCAAACCAACAGAGGAAUGAUGCUGUGCGUACGGCCCGCAGCGGUGGGAUGGAGGCAGUGAGGAAGCACAGAGCAGCAGAGGGGAUGGAAGCCCAAACGAGCUGCUCCAUUUCAAAUGAGUUAAGCUAUGUCACAGACACAACUGGUGCUGAACAAGAUGACUUACCCUGUGAUGGAGGUGGGGGAAUAGCCUGUGAACACCAUGACAAGUC